Molecule: long non-coding RNA, 480 nt
Filed under: Setaria viridis
Lineage: Eukaryota; Viridiplantae; Streptophyta; Magnoliopsida; Poales; Poaceae
Description: long non-coding RNA (SVIR_LNC007858)
Source: RNAcentral
AAAGAGAUAAGAAGAAGAGGAAGAGGAAGGAGAGGAGGAGGAAGAAGAAGGAUUGGUAGAUGAGCCCCCUCUUAGUAGCUGGUCCGUAUUCAUCAUUGUGCGGUUUGCCUACUGUUAUUCAGUAUCUUUGAUGAGGUGGUGUUAGAGUUAGGAGCUAUUUGUUGGCAGAUUUUUAGUUUAUGGUUGAGAAUUGUAAUAAUGGGUGGUUGAGUACACAACUCAUGAAGAGAUUGAAAUAAAUAAAUUCUUUGAUUCUAUAUCUAUACUAUAAAGAACGACUUCUUUUGAAAACACCACCUACCAAGAGAUACACUCCCCUACCCCUCAUCCAGAACCCACCUGUCAGGACCGACCCUACCAAAGUGAUGGAUGAAAGGAGGUAGGGGAGGACAAUUUUUUGCAUGUUAGAAAAUACUUUUUGCGAUUCUAACGAUUUUUUCUCAUUGAUUGCCGAUUGUACCCGCCCGCCGUACCCACCCC